Molecule: long non-coding RNA, 312 nt
Organism: Pecten maximus
Lineage: Eukaryota; Metazoa; Mollusca; Bivalvia; Pectinida; Pectinidae
Exons: 3
Source: RefSeq, a predicted model, not a curated record
CAAAUCAAUGCCCGUAUGUAGCUCAGUAUGUGACCAUCUAUAACUCCCGAAGUAAUCCAACGAGACAUGAAUGGUACGAUAAUUUGGCUUACCUGGAGCUUUGUGAAGUACAAGUAUUCGGCUGUGCGAGAGAGAAAUACGGAUAUGGCGACUGUAAUCAAUCCUGUUCCGAUAACUGUUACGGUGGCAACUGUGACGCUUCAAGUGGUUCCUGCUUUUAUUGUCGUCAAGGGAAAUGGGGCGAUACAUGCGAUCAUGACUGUUCUGCUGACUGUGGCAAUGGUUGUAUUUCAAAGAAUGGAUCCUGUACAG